Molecule: ribosomal RNA, 681 nt
Filed under: Triticum aestivum (bread wheat)
Lineage: Eukaryota; Viridiplantae; Streptophyta; Magnoliopsida; Poales; Poaceae
Description: partial small subunit ribosomal RNA
Source: RNAcentral
AUGUUUUCCAUUUUUACCCCCGUGUCGGCCGGGGACACGGUAGCGAAACAUCUGCAUCCCUUCCCUCACACGCUCGCCCGCAUCCCUCCCUCUCUCACGCUCGCCCGCAUCACCGGCGCCGGCGUCCUCUCCCUUGCACCUCUCUCGCCCGCGCCGCCUCUCCCCGAGCUCCUCGCUCGCCCGCGUCGUCGGCACCCUCUCCCUCGCGUGCGUCGCCGGCGCUCUCCAACACCAGCUCCAUUGUUAAAAAUGCGAUUUCCCCCCCUCCGGCCCUCCGAUCUGCAGUGGCGGUCCUCGAUCUGCUGCGGCGACUAUCAAGACGGCACGACGGAGCUGUUACUGCCUGUCGCCUGCCCAGAGCUUCUGUUGCCGGUUGCCUACCCGGAGCUGUUGCUGUCGGUCGUCUGCCUGGAUCUGCUUCUUCAGGCGAUGCCCACAUCGCCGUCUCCCUCCCGCUCCUCUUCCUCCUCCUCGUCGGUUACUUCACCACCUCAGCAUCACCGGCGGGGGGCUGGGAGGGGGAGGGGUGGAUGGGCCCUUCUUCAAGGCCUACAACCAUCACAGAGCAGAGCAGGAAGCUCGUCUUCGAGGUAUGGUGCAGAUGUGGUGGAGUAUAUCUUUUGGAAUGGGCAUGAACCGGCCAAAGUUCAGGUUCUUCGUUGCCUUCUUCGGGUGGAGUGA